RNAcentral lists this transfer RNA (65 nucleotides) under Pseudocuneopsis sichuanensis. RNAcentral's name for it is "tRNA-Val". The record is from RNAcentral. Lineage: Eukaryota; Metazoa; Mollusca; Bivalvia; Unionida; Unionidae.
CAUAGGGUAGUAUAACAAAUACUUUUUGCUUACACCAAAAAACUGGCGACACAAACCCCCUUUGA